RNAcentral lists this ribosomal RNA (243 nucleotides) under uncultured bacterium. RNAcentral describes it as "partial 16S ribosomal RNA". It matches the Rfam family "Bacterial small subunit ribosomal RNA", at positions 8 to 244 of the family's 1533-position model. The record is from RNAcentral.
AGAGUUUGAUCCUGGCUCAGGAUGAACGCUAGCGGCAGGCUUAACACAUGCAAGUCGAGGGGCAGACGGGGUGUAGCAAUACACUGCCGGCGACCGGCGUCACGGGUGCGUAACGCGUAUGCAACCUACCCAUAACAGGGGCAUAACACUGAGAAAUUGGUACUAAGUUCCCCAUAACAUUCGAAGAGGCAUCUCUUUGGGUUGAAAACUCCGGUGGUUAUGGAUGGGCAUGCGUUGUAUUAG